AGCGUACACGGUGGAUGCCUUGGCAGUCAGAGGCGAUGAAAGACGUAUUAACUUGCGAUAAGCCCAGAUUAGGUAGUAAAAACCAUUUGAGUCUGGGAUUUCUGAAUGGGGAAACCCACGUGCAUAAGCACGUAUCGCUACGUGAAUACAUAGCGUAGCGAGGCGAACCGGGAGAACUGAAACAUCUAAGUACCCCGAGGAAGAGAAAUCAACCGAGAUCCCGAAAGUAGCGGCGAGCGAAAUUGGGUUAGCCCUUAAGCUUUUAAUGAGACAGGUGAAGGCUCUGGAAAGUGCCGCGAUACAGGGUGAUAGCCCCGUAACCGACAUCUCAUCAUCAGUGAAAACGAGUAAGGCGGGACACGUGAUAUCCUGUCUGAAUAUGGGGGGACCAUCCUCCAAGGCUAAAUACUACUGACUGACCGAUAGUGAACCAGUACCGUGAGGGAAAGGCGAAAAGAACCCCUGUGAGGGGAGUGAAAUAGAACCUGAAACCGUGUACGUACAAGCAGUAGGAGCACCUUCGUGGUGUGACUGCGUACCUUUUGUAUAAUGGGUCAGCGACUUAUAUUCAGUGGCAAGGUUAACCGUUUAGGGGAGCCGUAGGGAAACCGAGUCUUAACUGGGCGUUCAGUCUCUGGAUAUAGACCCGAAACCAGGUGAUCUAGCCAUGGGCAGGUUGAAGAUUGAGUAACAUCAAUUGGAGGACCGAACCGACUAAUGUUGAAAAAUUAGCGGAUGACUUGUGGCUAGGGGUGAAAGGCCAAUCAAACCUGGAGAUAGCUGGUUCUCCCCGAAAUCUAUUUAGGUAGAGCCUCGGACGAAUACUACUGGGGGUAGAGCACUGUUAAGGCUAGGGGGUCAUCCCGACUUACCAACCCUUUGCAAACUCCGAAUACCAGUAAGUACUAUCCGGGAGACACACGGCGGGUGCUAACGUCCGUCGUGGAGAGGGAAACAACCCAGACCGCCAGCUAAGGUCCCAAAGUUAUAGUUAAGUGGGAAACGAUGUGGGAAGGCUCAGACAGCCAGGAUGUUGGCUUAGAAGCAGCCAUCAUUUAAAGAAAGCGUAAUAGCUCACUGGUCGAGUCGGCCUGCGCGGAAGAUGUAACGGGGCUAAACUAUACACCGAAGCUGCGGCAAUACAGUUUACUGUAUUGGGUAGGGGAGCGUUCUGUAAGCGGUUGAAGGUGCGUUGUAAAGCGUGCUGGACGUAUCAGAAGUGCGAAUGCUGACAUGAGUAACGAUAAAGCGGGUGAAAAACCCGCUCGCCGGAAGACCAAGGGUUCCUGUCCAACGUUAAUCGGGGCAGGGUAAGUCGACCCCUAAGGCGAGGCCGAAAGGCGUAGUCGAUGGGAAACGGGUUAAUAUUCCCGUACUUCUUACAAUUGCGAUGGGGGGACGGAGAAGGCUAGGUGGGCUUGGCGACGGUCGUCCAAGUUCAAGUAUGUAGGCUGUAUUCUUAGGCAAAUCCGGGAAUACACUAGGCUGAGAUACGAUGUCGAGCUACUACGGUAGUGAAGCCAUUGAUGCCAUGCUUCCAGGAAAAGCCUCUAAGCUUCAGAUUGUAAGGAAUCGUACCCCAAACCGACACAGGUGGUCGAGUAGAGAAUACUAAGGCGCUUGAGAGAACUCGGGUGAAGGAACUAGGCAAAAUGGUACCGUAACUUCGGGAGAAGGUACGCUCCUAGCGGUGAUGAGACUUGCUCUCUAAGCUGCCGGGAGUCGCAGAUACCAGGUGGCUGCAACUGUUUAUUAAAAACAUAGCACUGUGCUAAAUCGUAAGAUGACGUAUACGGUGUGACGCCUGCCCGGUGCUUGAAGGUUAAUUGAUGGGGUUAGACUUCGGUCGAAGCUCUUGAUCGAAGCCCAAGUAAACGGCGGCCGUAACUAUAACGGUCCUAAGGUAGCGAAAUUCCUUGUCGGGUAAGUUCCGACCUGCACGAAUGGCGUAAUGAUGGCCACGCUGUCUCCACCCGAGACUCAGUGAAAUUGAAAUCGCUGUGAAGAUGCAGUGUACCCGCGGCUAGACGGAAAGACCCCGUGAACCUUUACUACAGCUUGGCACUGAACAUUGACCCUACAUGUGUAGGAUAGGUGGGAGCCUUUGAAGCACGUACGCCAGUAUGUGUGGAGGCAAUCUUGAAAUACCACCCUUGUAUGCUUGAUGUUCUAACGUUGGUCCCUUAUCGGGAUUGCGGACAGUGCCUGGUGGGUAGUUUGACGGGGCGGUCUCCUCCCAAAGAGUAACGGAGGAGCACGAAGGUGGGCUAAUCACGGUUGGACAUCGUGAGGUUAGUGCAAUGGCAUAAGCCCGCUUGACUGCGAGAAUGACAAUUCGAGCAGGUGCGAAAGCAGGUCAUAGUGAUCCGGUGGUUCUGAAUGGAAGGGCCAUCGCUCAACGGAUAAAAGGUACUCCGGGGAUAACAGGCUGAUACCGCCCAAGAGUUCAUAUCGACGGCGGUGUUUGGCACCUCGAUGUCGGCUCAUCACAUCCUGGGGCUGAAGUCGGUCCCAAGGGUAUGGCUGUUCGCCAUUUAAAGUGGUACGCGAGCUGGGUUUAGAACGUCGUGAGACAGUUCGGUCCCUAUCUGCCGUGGGCGUUGGAUGAUUGAAGGGGGCUGCUCCUAGUACGAGAGGACCGGAGUGGACGAACCUCUGGUGUUCGGGUUGUCACGCCAGUGGCAUUGCCCGGUAGCUAAGUUCGGAAUCGAUAAACGCUGAAAGCAUCUAAGCGUGAAGCGAGCCCUGAGAUGAGUCAUCCCUGAUACUUUAAGUAUCCUAAAGGGUUGU
RNAcentral lists this ribosomal RNA (2790 nucleotides) under Aliivibrio fischeri. Its description in RNAcentral is "bacterial LSU rRNA". It matches the Rfam family "Bacterial large subunit ribosomal RNA". The record is from RNAcentral. Lineage: Bacteria; Pseudomonadati; Pseudomonadota; Gammaproteobacteria; Vibrionales; Vibrionaceae.